CUCAAAAAAAAAAAAAAAAAAGACCAUGCAUAUAUCCCCAGAACUAGUUCUUUCCCUAGGUCUAGUUUUAUAAAUGCUGCUGAUAAAC
Small nucleolar RNA from Rhinopithecus roxellana (golden snub-nosed monkey), 88 nucleotides. RefSeq annotates it as small nucleolar RNA SNORA72. Lineage: Eukaryota; Metazoa; Chordata; Mammalia; Primates; Cercopithecidae. The transcript has a single exon. The record is from RefSeq and is a predicted model, not a curated record.